GAUGAACGCUGGCGGCGUGCCUAAUACAUGCAAAUCGAGCGAAUGGAUUAAGAGCUUGCUCUUAUGAAGUUAGCGGCGGACGGGUGAGUAACACGUGGGUAACCUGCCCAUAAGACUGGGAUAACUCCGGGAAACCGGGGCUAAUACCGGAUAACAUUUUGAACCGCAUGGUUCGAAAUUGAAAGGCGGCUUCGGCUGUCACUUAUGGAUGGACCCGCGUCGCAUUAGCUAGUUGGUGAGGUAACGGCUCACCAAGGCAACGAUGCGUAGCCGACCUGAGAGGGUGAGCGGCCACGAUGGGACUGAGACACGGCCCAGACUCCUACAGGAGGCAGCAGUAGGGAAUCUGCCGCACUGGGCGAAAGUCUGACGGAGCAACGCCGCGUGAGUGAUGAAGGCUUUCGGGUCGUAAAACUCUGUUGUUAGGGAAGAACAAGUGCUAGUUGAAUAAGCUGACACCUUGACGGUACCUAACCAGAAAGCCACGGCUAACUACGUGCCAGCCGCCGCCGUAA
This 515-nucleotide ribosomal RNA is filed under the name uncultured bacterium. RNAcentral describes it as "partial 16S ribosomal RNA". It matches the Rfam family "Bacterial small subunit ribosomal RNA", at positions 28 to 523 of the family's 1533-position model. The record is from RNAcentral.